This 1892-nucleotide long non-coding RNA is filed under the name Linum usitatissimum (flax). RNAcentral describes it as "long non-coding RNA (LUSI_LNC008306)". The record is from RNAcentral. Lineage: Eukaryota; Viridiplantae; Streptophyta; Magnoliopsida; Malpighiales; Linaceae.
UAUAAAUGUGUCUUAUUUGAACCAAGUGGGUAGUCCAAGAAUCCAAGAGGGGCCUCUAAUCAACCCAUCCGUUUCACUGGCCAGUAUGCAGUUGCCUACUUAAUUAAAAUUUUUAUUUGACUAUUAUUUAAAGGGUUUAAUAUGGUGAAAUCUCAAUUUUUAGACAUUCCCAAUAUGCAUGUCAAAUAUUAGCCAAUUUGAAAAUUUUCAAUUUUCCUGUCAAAAUGACCAAUUUCUAAAGGGGUUAACCUAUGAAAAUUGAUCAUUUUUAUAAUAAAAUUUUCAAAUUUUCAAAUCAGUUAAUAUUUGACAUGUAUGUUGGAAAUGGCUAAAAAAUAAAAUUUCUCUAUGAUAAACCAGAUAAGCAAUGGCCAAAUGAAGUUAAAAAUUAAUUUUACUUGAUGUUAUAUUUGUGUUGAAUUUUUUUAAAUUAACUUACUUUCUACAUACACGUGGUGAAAAACGGCUAGAAAUCCAACUAAAAUUAUUUGUUGUGUCCAUGUAAUCGAAAGUAGGCAUCUCGUACCAAAUACCUUUUUUCCUAGAGCAUGUAUUAUAAUUACCUUUUUUAUUUAAUUAGUCGUGUGAGAUAUUGAAUUGUAAUCCAACGCGAAAAAUGAUUGCAAAUUGUAGUAAGUGACUUAUUAUUUGGACUAAUCUCCGACAGCCAUUUCAACUAGAGAGCCCGAGACUUGCAAAAAUUUCCCAUCAAUUGAAACAAAAUGGCAGAAUGGUACUCUAGCUAGGCGUUUACUUCCCAACAACAUUUUCUUGCUACCUUCAAAGUAUGGAGAAAAUAAAAAAUGGAAUCUUGAGCAUUUAUUGGUUUUGUCUCUGCCUCCAUUUGGACAUGAGUUAGUUUGGUUCAUUAGAUCAUGCAUUUAAGGAUUACACAUCAAUUAGAUCACAGGUUGUUGACUUACAUGUGUGUAAGUGUGUUAUGAGUUCUAAAACUUUUUUAUAUUUUUUUCGGAGAUGGACAAGAUAACAUUGUCCUUAUAAGAGAUACAAAACGAAAGAAAUACAAUAUUAUUGGUGUUUAUAUGUGAGUGUGUUGGUUUUAAACUCGAUGUCUUCAAGUCAUUAGCACAAAACGCAACCAACAAUGCUAUUCCACGGGGAAUAGACCUUUUGAUCAAUUUGAAUUACGGGUUGUUGACUUUUGGUCAAAUUGAGUUAUCAAAUGAGCUCAAUUUCAACUUCAGAGCUCAACUAUGAAAAACUAUUGAAUUAUGGAGCCUAAUGGACUAAAUAUUGAUAGGUAACUGAACCAAAUAUAGACGUUAUUGUUGAAAAUCGAUAUAUAUGGAAUUACAAUUAGUAUGGAUUUACUAUAACUCAAAUAUCUCAUACAACUAAAUGAGCGGUACCAACUAAUUGUACUACCUAGUUUUAGGUCACUUCGACUGAACUGAUUGCUUUCACACACAAAAAUUGGAUCACCAAACUUCAACAAUUAUAACCUGAUUAUGAUCAUUGUAAAUGAAUAAUCACACCAUAAAAGUCGAUAUCCCUAAUCAUUUUCAACCUCCUCGAUGUCUUGAUUAGCACUUCAUUUUUCUUCCCUUUUUUUCUUUCUCUUCGAACUAUGUAUCUCACAAUGUUAGUGUUGUAAUCCCUAUUUGUUGACAUCCAUUUUGUGUCAUUUUAAUAAAAAAAUCCUACUCAUUUUUUAAAAAAUAGUCAAUAUCCCUUACCUGAAAUCACCUACGAAAAAUAUUUUUCUCGUAAAGGAGAACUGAGUUGACAAACCUCAGUAUUUAUUUUCUAUACGUUCACAUUCCAUGCCCUGAAAAACGGCAAAAGAUAUCCAUCCCAUCAUUGAGCCAAAUGGGCAAUGCUACUCCUCAACUUGUUGCAUCCAUGCUUGACCAAAACGUUUACUUCUCAGA